UCCUUUCUGAAAUAAACAACCGUCGAGCCUUGCGCAGUGCUGUACUGUGACCAGCGCAGUCAGCGGAACGUGCUAUCGAGUUAGCCAAACAUACAUCAGUAUCACUACACGCAUUUACAUGCCGUGCACCAAUGGGACGCCAGCCGUCCUCGUGAAACCGUGACCAGUUUCCUACACUUCAGCUUCAAGACAGAUUUCCUCUCUGAAGAUCCAGAGGCUCUCCUGGGUAUGUCAAUGAAAACAUCUGCUGUGGUGGGCUUCCAUUAGAAAUGUCCACAAGGGUAAAUUAUGGGAACGCUUCAGCUUCUGAUGGACUCCCUCGCACCGCCCCCACCACCACCCCCCGAAGGGAUGCUGGGUCCCUGGCACAUCUGGCAGAUCUGCCAUGAUUUCCUGCAUGCGGGGGGGAAAAGCCGCUGACAACCAUGAUGCACGUUUUCAGAGGAGCUGGGUGCAAGCGUGCAGAAGAUAGCCAACGAGGCCGAAUCAGGAUUCCCGCCAAAGCGCUUUCCCAAAGUGUGCCUUCCACUUGGUUACAGAGGCUAAA
Molecule: long non-coding RNA, 547 nt
Organism: Anguilla anguilla (European eel)
Lineage: Eukaryota; Metazoa; Chordata; Actinopteri; Anguilliformes; Anguillidae
Exons: 3
Source: RefSeq, a predicted model, not a curated record